RNAcentral lists this long non-coding RNA (1218 nucleotides) under Macaca mulatta (Rhesus monkey). RNAcentral's name for it is "lncRNA (ENSMMUG00000052645.1)". Lineage: Eukaryota; Metazoa; Chordata; Mammalia; Primates; Cercopithecidae. The record is from RNAcentral.
AAUCCUCUGGUACAUUCUUAAGGCAUUCUGCCUUACCCUCAUCAUAGCACCUAAAACAGUGCCCGGGGCUUCAAUAGGACGAGGCGCAUAGAAGGUGUUCAACAAAUAGUACAUGAUUAAUGACAUUUACAUAACUGGAAUUGUGUUUACAUGUCUAUCUCCCCUAUAAAUAACAAAACAGAUCUCUGUCACAUCUGUGCUUAAAACCUGCUGUAAACUUCUUAACAAUUUCAACAACAAAUAUUAGAAUCUCAAAUGGUGACAGGGUCAUGGCAAGUAAGAAAUGUGUAAAGCAGACUAAGGGUAACGAUAGGGAGUCGCAGGGACUAUGGCAAACUGAAGAAUGCCUGAGAGAUCCUUGAGUAAAGGGAGAACAUCUUAAUCUUCACUGCCCAUCACAAUACCUAGAACACGGCAGGUCCGCAUUCAAUAUAUUCUCACUCUAGGUUUUCAAGGGAUCAGUGGAACAAUUCAUAUGUGGGGUACAGUAUUUCCCACCUGCAUUUCAGAAUGGCAUACACCAAGGAUAGGGCAAUAAAAGGCACAUUUGGCAAUACAACUGAAGGCAGAGAGAGAGAGAGAGAGAGAGAGAGAGAGAGCGAGCAGGCAGGCUUUUAGCGUAAUAGCACAUCGAUAGGUGAAGAGAAACUGAAAGUCAUACUUGGAAGGUGAUGUGACACCAUCCCCAUUGUCCUUUCCAGAGAUGAGCCUGAUGGACCUGAAUUACUGACAACCCACAGCAGAAGCUGAAGAGAAAGAGGAUAGAUUGCCACAUGCCGGAACUGGAGUCUUGGCUUUCGAAAGAUCUUUUCCAUUACCUCUGCAGCAAGAAUGACGUCUUCUAAAGACUCAGGAUGGCCUCUAAUGUAAGGAUUCAGUAAAUAUUGAUCAAUUAACCCACCCACGAUGAGGUUCCUGUCAACCACUUAAUCACCUUCAAAUGGCGUGUUUAUUUACUCAAUUCCUCUGCCCUGUUUCUGCAGCUUCAUGGUCUAAUUCCCUGAUCCUCCAACCAGGAGGCCCCCCCAGGCCUGACAGAAGUGUUUGUAAAGGGAGCAGUUUGGGGGAGCUAUUUUGGGAGCAGCUCUGAAAAGAGACCCACAUAGUGAGAAUCUGAGACUUCCUGCCAACAGCCACAUGAAUAAGCAUGGAAAUGGAUUUCCCUCAGUCAAGCCUUCGGAUGAGAUGACAGCCCAUCUGACUACUUGACUGCAAUGU